Molecule: non-coding RNA, 20 nt
Filed under: Mus musculus (house mouse)
Lineage: Eukaryota; Metazoa; Chordata; Mammalia; Rodentia; Muridae
Source: RNAcentral
GUUCGAUGUCACUGAGUCUG